GUGAGACAGAGAGCCAGGAGCCCAGAGUUGACCCAGCACUCUGAGAUGUUGUGGUCCUGUGAGGAGGACAGAGAACUGUGAGUCCCCUAGGUGUGCAACCAAGCUAAGUUGGAAGCAUCCAUCUCUAUCAUGAUAAUGGGCUAGUGCUGAGCAAAGAGAACUCAAGGACAUUGAAAGGAAAAGUUCACCAUGCUGCUGCCUGAGAAAAUACUAAGCACUCAGGUAUAAUCUGUUGUGCUAGCUGUUGACAGAGCAGACUUCUGGACCCAAUCUCUCACCUACCAGUUGUCCAGGUGUGAAUAUUGUUUACCUGGGGGCCAAGACAAUGAAGGUCAUCUGCCAUGAGGAACAGGCUUCAUUACAUUUUUUUUC
Long non-coding RNA from Mauremys mutica (yellowpond turtle), 372 nucleotides. RefSeq lists it as uncharacterized. The transcript has 4 exons. The record is from RefSeq and is a predicted model, not a curated record. Lineage: Eukaryota; Metazoa; Chordata; Testudines; Geoemydidae.